RNAcentral lists this ribosomal RNA (228 nucleotides) under uncultured Lactococcus sp. Its description in RNAcentral is "partial 16S ribosomal RNA". It matches the Rfam family "Bacterial small subunit ribosomal RNA", at positions 311 to 532 of the family's 1533-position model. Lineage: Bacteria; Bacillati; Bacillota; Bacilli; Lactobacillales; Streptococcaceae. The record is from RNAcentral.
CAUUGGGACUGAGACACGGCCCAAACUCCUACGGGAGGCAGCAGUAGGGAAUCUUCGGCAAUGGACGAAAGUCUGACCGAGCAACGCCGCGUGAGUGAAGAAGGUUUUCGGAUCGUAAAACUCUGUUGUUAGAGAAGAAUGUUGAUUAGAGCGGCAAACACUCAAGGACGGUAUCUAACCAGAAAGGGACGGCUAACUACGUGCCAGCAGCCGCGGUAAUACGUAGGU